GUCUUUUUGAAUUUAAUUUAAAGUCUAACCUGCCAAGUGAAAAUUUAACGGCCGCAGUAUUUUGACUGUGCGAAGGUAGCAUAAUCAAUAGUUUUUUAAUUAAAAACUGGAAUGAAAGGUUGAAUAAGAAAUUAACUGUCUUAAAAUUAAUUUUUUAUAAUUUUAUUUUUAAGUUAAAAAGCUUAAAUUUUUUUUAAAGACGAGAAGACCCUAUAGAAUUUAAUAAUUUCAUAAUUAAAUUAUUUUAGGUAAAAAUUUUUUUAAUUAUAAUAUUAUUUAAUUGGGGUGAUUAUAAAAUUUAAUAAACUUUUAUUAUUAAGUUCAAUUAUUUUUGUGUGCUUGAUCCAUUAAAUGAUUAUAAGAAUAAAUUACCUUAGGGAUAACAGCGUAAUUUUAUUAGAAAGUUCUUAUUGAAAAUAAAGAUUGCGACCUCGAUGUUGGAUUAAAAUUAAUUUUAGGUGUAGAAGCUUAAAAAUUAGGUCUGUUCGACCUUUAAUUUUUUACA
RNAcentral lists this ribosomal RNA (505 nucleotides) under Bystus vestitus. RNAcentral describes it as "partial 16S ribosomal RNA". The stretch from base 379 to 505 matches the Rfam family "Archaeal large subunit ribosomal RNA", at positions 2542 to 2669 of the family's 2987-position model. The record is from RNAcentral. Lineage: Eukaryota; Metazoa; Arthropoda; Insecta; Coleoptera; Endomychidae.